GACGAACGCUGGCGGCGUGCUUAACACAUGCAAGUCGAACGGAAAGGCCCUGCUUUUGUGGGGUGCUCGAGUGGCGAACGGGUGAGUAACACGUGAGUAACCUGCCCUUGACUUUGGGAUAACUUCAGGAAACUGGGGCUAAUACCGGAUAGGAGCUCCUGCUGCAUGGUGGGGGGUGGAAAGUUUCGGCGGUUGGGGAUGGACUCGCGGCUUAUCAGCUUGUUGGUGGGGUAGUGUCUUACCAAGGCUUUGACGGGUAGCCGGCCUGAGAGGGUGACCGGCCACAUUGGGACUGAGAUACGGCCCAGACUCCUACGGGAGGCAGCAGUGGGGAAUAUUGCACAAUGGGCGGAAGCCUGAUGCAGCAACGCCGCGUGCGGGAUGACGGCCUUCGGGUUGUAAACCGCUUUCGCCUGUGACGCAGCGUGAGUGACGGUAAUGGGUAAAGAAGCACCGGCUAACUACGUG
RNAcentral lists this ribosomal RNA (468 nucleotides) under uncultured bacterium. RNAcentral's name for it is "partial 16S ribosomal RNA". It matches the Rfam family "Bacterial small subunit ribosomal RNA", at positions 28 to 507 of the family's 1533-position model. The record is from RNAcentral.